GCCGGGUAAGAUUCACAGGUGUGGCUCUAGAUUACCACACUUGUCACAAUUACCCGGAGAAAAAUGUUUGCCUUCUGAUGACCAUGUUGUGCUAAGGUAUCCAACAUGGACAGAUACGGGGCACACACGC
This is a non-coding RNA of Scylla paramamosain (green mud crab), 130 nucleotides long. RefSeq annotates it as small Cajal body-specific RNA 8. The transcript has a single exon. Lineage: Eukaryota; Metazoa; Arthropoda; Malacostraca; Decapoda; Portunidae. The record is from RefSeq and is a predicted model, not a curated record.